GAACUCAAAGGGCGGGCAGCGGAGAGGUUAUCUUGCUCUAGUUUUCCUUUCGUCUCCUAAUUUCCAGUUGCUUUUGUGGCGGGUGAUUUCUCUUUCACUUCUGUUUGGUUCCUGAGAAAUUAUAAGGAAAAGGAAAAAAAAAAAGAGAGUAUACAAGAUGAUCAAAAGGUGAGGAUAUUCAGCUACUUGUAUUUUGAUGUGAUAACGGAACCGGAAUGGUUAAGAUAACAAGUUAUCUGGUGGUGCUCUAAGAGUUUUGUUUUAGAUUCGUAUAUGUUAUUUUUUCUGCGAUACAUUUUCCUCUUUUUAGGCUGGAUUUUGUGAGACGAUGCUCCAAGAGCCGAGUUCCCUGGCAUUGGGUCGUGCAUGACACACGGGUGUUCAUCUGUCAGAAAGAUGCAUAUGUUGCUGAUGAGGCUCAAUCCAAGUAAAUAUCCUAUUGAACAAGGUAUUGUUAAUAACUGGGAUGAUAUGGAAAACAUUUGGCACCGUACCUUCUACAAUUAACUCCAUGGGGUUACAGAAGAAUACCCUUUUCUUCCUGUCAACCUGAAAGCCAACAGCAUGAAAAUGGCCCAAAUCAUGUUUGAGACCACCUUCAAUGCUCCUGUCAUAAAGGAAUGUUGAUAUCAAGAAGGAUUGUAUGGAGACAUUGUUCUCAGUGGUGGAUCCACUAUGUUCCGAGGAAUUGCAGACAGAAUGAGAAAGGAAGUCACGGCCUAAGCAUAAAAAUUAAGGCGGUGGCUUCCACCAGAAAGGAAUAUUGCUUCUGGAUUGGAGGAUCCAUCUUAGUAUCUCUCAGUACUUUCGAGCAGGUUUUUCGACCCCAUGUCCUUCAUUGAAACAGCUCCAAGACUUGAAAUUCUUAUAUUUGUUUCCUACCUCAAAAGGUGCGUUGUCAUUGUAGUGCUUUGAAUUGUCAGUUUCAUG
Long non-coding RNA from Gossypium raimondii (Peruvian cotton), 930 nucleotides. RefSeq lists it as uncharacterized. The record is from RefSeq and is a predicted model, not a curated record. The transcript has 4 exons. NCBI's taxonomy places the organism in Eukaryota, Viridiplantae, Streptophyta, Magnoliopsida, Malvales, Malvaceae.